CCGUCGAUAGCUCAGUUGGUAGAGCGGAAGACUGUAGAUCUUUAGGUCGCUGGUUCGAAUCCGGCUCGACGGA
RNAcentral lists this transfer RNA (73 nucleotides) under Strongylocentrotus purpuratus (purple sea urchin). RNAcentral's name for it is "tRNA-Tyr (GTA) (tRNA-Tyr-GTA-1-1)". It matches the Rfam family "tRNA". Rfam says of the family: Transfer RNA (tRNA) molecules are approximately 80 nucleotides in length. Their secondary structure includes four short double-helical elements and three loops (D, anti-codon, and T loops). Further hydrogen bonds mediate the characteristic L-shaped molecular structure. tRNAs have two regions of fundamental functional importance: the anti-codon, which is responsible for specific mRNA codon recognition, and the 3' end, to which the tRNAs corresponding amino acid is attached (by aminoacyl-tRNA synthetases). tRNAs cope with the degeneracy of the genetic code in two manners: having more than one tRNA (with a specific anti-codon) for a particular amino acid; and 'wobble' base-pairing, i.e. permitting non-standard base-pairing at the 3rd anti-codon position. The record is from RNAcentral. Lineage: Eukaryota; Metazoa; Echinodermata; Echinoidea; Camarodonta; Strongylocentrotidae.